CAAGAAUGAUGGGCGAUUCUGCAUACAAGAACACUAUAGACUGCUUCGUCAAAACACUGAAGAGCGACGGUCCUAUGGCAUUUUACAAAGGUUUCCUCCCUAACUUUGGACGCCUUGGCUCAUGGAAUGUCAUCAUGUUUUUGACCCUCGAACAGGCAAAGAAGUAUGUCCGAGAACUAGGUUCAUCUAAAUAAUACGGAGACACACAAAGUUUCAGGCAGAGAUAAUAAGAGCACCACUGUUUUCUAGUUAAUUUCGGUGGUCGAGAGAGAGGACUAGAAUCUUCCAGAAUAGCGAGUUGUUUUCAAUCAAAACUGUGAAAUAAAUUUCCUGUUGGUAGUAGCUCAUAUUUGGGCUUGUACCAUUCAAACAUUUAUAUGAACACCAGAGAUCCAUCUAAAUAAUC
Long non-coding RNA from Raphanus sativus (radish), 406 nucleotides. RefSeq lists it as uncharacterized. The transcript is spliced from 3 exons. The record is from RefSeq and is a predicted model, not a curated record. Lineage: Eukaryota; Viridiplantae; Streptophyta; Magnoliopsida; Brassicales; Brassicaceae.